Molecule: ribosomal RNA, 494 nt
Filed under: uncultured bacterium
Lineage: Bacteria
Description: partial 16S ribosomal RNA
Rfam family: Bacterial small subunit ribosomal RNA
Source: RNAcentral
GAUGAACGCUGGCGGCGUGCUUAACACAUGCAAGUCGAACGAAGCAUUUCGGUCUUAAUCUUCGGAAGCGGACUGAUCUGACUGAGUGGCGGACGGGUGAGUAACGCGUGGGUAACCUGCCCUGUACAGGGGGAUAACAGUUAGAAAUGACUGCUAACACCGCAUAAGCGCACAGAAAGGCAUCUUUCGGUGUGAAAAUAUUUAUAGGUACAGGAUGGGCCCGCGUCUGAUUAGCCAGUUGGCAGGGUAACGGCCUACCAAAGCAACGAUCAGUAGCCGGCUUGGGAGAGUGAACGGCCACAUUGGGACUGAGACACGGCCCAAACUCCUACGGAGGCAGCAGUGGGGAAUAUUGCACAAUGGGGGAAACCCUGAUGCAGCGACGCCGCGUGAGUGAAGAAGUAUUUCGGUAUGUAAAGCUCUAUCAGCAGGGAAGAAAAUGACGGUACCUGACUAAGAAGCCCCGGCUAACUACGUGCCAGCCGCCGCGGUAA